Molecule: small nuclear RNA, 20 nt
Filed under: Arabidopsis thaliana (thale cress)
Lineage: Eukaryota; Viridiplantae; Streptophyta; Magnoliopsida; Brassicales; Brassicaceae
Description: snRNA_06333
Source: RNAcentral
CAGCCCUUUGUCGCUAAGAU